Unclassified non-coding RNA from Aotus nancymaae (Ma's night monkey), 293 nucleotides. It matches the Rfam family "Metazoan signal recognition particle RNA". Rfam says of the family: The signal recognition particle (SRP) is a universally conserved ribonucleoprotein. The record is from Ensembl. NCBI's taxonomy places the organism in Eukaryota, Metazoa, Chordata, Mammalia, Primates, Aotidae.
GCUGGGUGCGGUGGCGCGUGCCUGUAGUCCCAGCUACUCGGGAGGCUAAGGUGGGAGGAUCGCCCAGGAGUUCUGGGCUGCAGUACGCUAUGCCGAUCGGGUGUCCGCACUAAGUUCGGCAUCAAUAUGGUGACCUCCCGGGAGCGGGGAACCACCAGGUUGCCUAAGGAGGAGUGAACCGGCCCAGGUCAGAAAUGGAGCAGGUCAAAACUCCCGUGCUGAUCAGUAGUGGGAUCGCGCCUGUGAAUAGCCACUGCACUCCAGCCUGGGCAACAUAGCGAGACCCCGUCUUU